GAUGAACGCUGACAGAAUGCUUAACACAUGCAAGUCGAUUCGAUUUACCUUCGGGUAUUGAGGAUGGCGGACGGGUGAGUAACGCGUAAGGAACUUGCCUCUUGGUCUGGGACAACUGUUGGAAACGACAGCUAAUACCGGAUAUUAUGAGAUUCUCGCAUGGGAAACUUAUGAAAGCUAUAUGCGCCAAGAGAGAGCCUUGCGUUCCAUUAGCUAGUUGGUGGGGUAACGGCCCACCAAGGCGACGAUGGAUAGCCGGCCUGAGAGGGUGAACGGCCACAAGGGGACUGAGACACGGCCCUUACUCCUACGGGAGGCAGCAGUGGGGAAUAUUGGACAAUGGGCCACAAGCCUGAUCCAGCAAUUCUGUGUGCACGAUGAAGGUCUUCGGAUUGUAAAGUGCUUUCAGUUGGGAAGAAGAAAGUGACGGUACCAACAGAAGAAGCGACGGCUAAAUACGUGCCAGCAGCCGCGGUAAUACGUAUGUCGCAAGCGUUAUCCGGAUUUAUUGGGCGUAAAGCGCGUCUAGGCGGAAAAAUAAGUCUGAUGUUAAAAUGCGGGGCUCAACUCCGUAUUGCGUUGGAAACUGUUUUUCUAGAGUACUGGAGAGGUGGGCGGAACUACAAGUGUAGAGGUGAAAUUCGUAGAUAUUUGUAGGAAUGCCGAUGGAGAAGUCAGCUCACUGGNCAGAUACUGACGCUAAAGCGCGAAAGCNUGGGGAGCAAACAGGAUUAGAUACCCUGGUAGUCCACGCCGUAAACGAUGAUCACUAG
RNAcentral lists this ribosomal RNA (773 nucleotides) under uncultured prokaryote. RNAcentral describes it as "bacterial SSU rRNA". It matches the Rfam family "Bacterial small subunit ribosomal RNA", at positions 28 to 819 of the family's 1533-position model. The record is from RNAcentral.